Molecule: ribosomal RNA, 406 nt
Filed under: uncultured bacterium
Lineage: Bacteria
Description: partial 16S ribosomal RNA
Rfam family: Bacterial small subunit ribosomal RNA
Source: RNAcentral
AUUGACCGCUGGCGGCAGGCCUAACACAUGCACGUCGAACGAGUGGCGGACGGGUGAGUAAUGUCUGGGCAACUGCCUGAUGGAGGGGGAUAACUACUGGAAACGUUAGCUAAUACAGCAUACCAUCGGAUGUGCCCAGAGUGGAUUAGCUAGUAGGUGGGGUAAAGGCUCACCUAGGCGACCAUCCCUAGCUGGUCUGAGAGGCGGACCAGCCACACUGGAACGGAGACACGGUCCAGACUCCUACGGGAGGCGGCAGUGGGGAAGAUUGCACAAUGGGCGCAAGCCUGAUGCAGCCAGGCCGCGUGUAUGAAGAAGGCCUUCGGGUUGUAAAGUACUUUCAGCGGGGAGGCGUUACCCGCAGAAGAAGCCCCGGCUAACUCCGUGCCAGCAGCCGCGGUAAUUC